This 496-nucleotide ribosomal RNA is filed under the name uncultured bacterium. RNAcentral's name for it is "partial 16S ribosomal RNA". It matches the Rfam family "Bacterial small subunit ribosomal RNA", at positions 28 to 506 of the family's 1533-position model. The record is from RNAcentral.
GAUGAACGCUGGCGGCGUGCCUAAUACAUGCAAGUCGAGCGAACAGACGAGGAGCUUGCUCCUCUGACGUUAGCGGCGGACGGGUGAGUAACACGUGGAUAACCUACCUAUAAGACUGGGAUAACUUCGGGAAACCGGAGCUAAUACCGGAUAAUAUAUUGAACCGCAUGGUUCAAUAGUGAAAGACGGUUUUGCUGUCACUUAUAGAUGGAUCCGCGCCGCAUUAGCUAGUUGGUAAGGUAACGGCUUACCAAGGCAACGAUGCGUAGCCGACCUGAGAGGGUGAUCGGCCACCCUGGACCUGGGCCACGGUCCGGACUCCUACGGGAGGCAGCAGUGGGAAAUCUUCCGCAAUGGGCGAAAGCCUGACGAGGCAACGCGGCGUGGGUGAUGAAGGUCUUCGGUUCGUAAACCUCUGUUAUAGGGGAAGAACAAAUGUGUAAGUAACUAUGCCCGUCUUGACGGUACCUAAUCAGAAGGCCCCGGCUACCUCCUU